UGAUUUUGCUCCUGAUCAGCGCGUCAUGAGGUCCCACGAGCCUCGGCGGUUAUAGGACGUUAGGGCUCGCGGAGGAAUGUGUGUCCUAGCAACGUCUCUGGGUCGUUAGACCUGAACCUCGAACAUUUACUCAAAUACAACCCACAAACUCUACUUUUAGAGUAAAUACAACCCACAAACUCUACUUUAAUACAUCCCAUGUGUGGAUAGAGUGUCUAUUUUGUAAAACAAGGCGAGAAUAAGCGGUGAAAGUUACCCACCUUCUCUGCCCAACGAGCCCGUCACUCCGAGCAACACGGCCCCGACGAACACCAAACUUCUCGCCGCCUCCAUCUGCUGCUGCGACCCGGCGGCUCUCUAGUCCAUACUCACAAAAACAAUCCACUGGCAGCCCACUUCACAAGGGGCAACUCUCUGUGUCCGCCAGUCCUCUUUUGGCACAGAUGGACACAUGCCGUACCAAACACUGGAGGUUGUGACGGCCUGGCUGGGGAUUUGGUGCCAUCUAUUGUCAGCCACAGCAAACUGCCAUUUGUGCAGAGCUUGCAGACACUGUCUGAAAUGCCUCUCUUCCGUAAAGCUACGACACAAAGACAGAGCAGGUGAGUGGACGAACCUGUAGAAAAGGAAGUGCACCGGUAUGGUGCUGAGGUGCCAAACAGCGUGAGCGUCGAGGACCCAGAGCAUUGGGGGGAAGUCCAGCAGCUCCAGCAGGGCCAGGCCGUGAAGCAUCACCACCACCAGGCCGCACUUCCACCAGUACGGCAGGGUCCGCCGGUUCUGCCAGCACCAACACAGCCACCACAGGAGGUUCACCAUGCCUUUAAAGACAAAAGAUGGUUAAAGAUAAGAAAGACAAAGAACCAGAUAAGAGCAAUCUUAAAACAAUAGUAAAUCAGUUGUGAAAAA
Molecule: long non-coding RNA, 909 nt
Organism: Sebastes umbrosus (honeycomb rockfish)
Lineage: Eukaryota; Metazoa; Chordata; Actinopteri; Perciformes; Sebastidae
Exons: 3
Source: RefSeq, a predicted model, not a curated record